AUCUUUGGUUACUCCACCCUACCCCUCCCAUCCCUCCUCCUCCUCCUCCUCUUCCUCCUCCUUCUCUAACAACGCCCGCACUACCUUCUGAUUCUCCACCUCCUCUUCAUCCUCCAUCCCCCUUUUACUUCUCUCUCCCCCGUCUCUCCUCCCUCCCGCCUCCUUUCUCCCUCUCCCCCUCCCUCUCUCCUCUGAAUAAGCAAGCUUUUGCCUCUAAAAGUCACAAGUAAUCCUCGUGUGUGACAGAGAGAGAGAGAGAGAGAGAGAGAGAGAGAGAGAGAGAAACGAGCUGGCGGAGAGGAGCAGAAGGCAGGAGGGGAAAUCUGGCACAACGGCUGGGAGAGGAAACUUGAUGCUUCUGGGCCACCAUUUGCCAGGGCCUCGCUCGAGACGCCGAAAGAAGCCUGUUUGUGUGCUGCGGCCGUGCUGUGACUUUGGAUCUUGUCUUUCAGCCGGCGCCUCGGUUCCUGCCCAGCUGGAUUUGGGGGGCAGCAUUGCCUGGCGCAGGGAGAUCAAAUGAGACUGCAAAGAAGCAUAAAAUGAAUAGACAAUCCAACCAACCAAAGACCGGGGGCAGCAGCAGGCCAGCAAGACGGCAUCUUCUCCUUCCCAGCCUAGAAGCCCUGUGAAAUCGAGGAUCUUCCCCCUAAAACACAUACACACAAGAUAUGUGCAAUCAAGCUGCCACCGCUUGGUAAAAAGCCAUGGUGCCUAACCAAAAAGGAUCAGGAACAGAUCCUUGAAUCAGCUGUCACUUCUAUAGAAUGGGAUUUUUUUUUCCUUCCUCCUUAACCUGCGCUGGAAAUUGCCGUUGGCUUUAUACAUCUCUAUAGAGAGAGGCUAAAGAGUCUUGCGUGAGAAAGAAGCAAUUUACAAUGCAAAUAGAGGCCUGUGAAGGGACGGAUGCUGCUGCUCACUCGUAACAGCUUGCUGCACCUUAAUAGCUGGUUUUAUUUUCUGAUAUUAAUAGAUGAAUUGUUGGCUAACGCUGCCGGAGAUUACUUGCUGAAAGGAAAAAGAAAAGUUCGGAAUAAACUCUGAAGGCAACAGAUCUCGUUUGGAUGUUUUAGCCGCGCACACACACAAACAGAAACCAGGUCAUAUUUACAUAAAAGGAGGAAUCUUAAGCGCGGCAAGUAUCCUGGACGACCACUCUUCGGUACUGCCAGAAAGGAUCAGGACCUGGAGUCUGGCAAGAGGAAGACAGAGGCCUGUGUGGGAAGCGAGUUGUUAUCUUUGGUUAUCUAGCUGUAUGAGUGUAUUGGUCUUCAUAAAGCUAGAUAACCGAAAGUAAAAACUCCUUCAAGAUCGCCGGGGAGCGUGUGAGAAUGAAAGACUACAGCCGAGAGACAGUAAAAACCAGAAAGGUCAGGAAUACUUAUUGAAUCUAACUUUGUUUUUGUUUUGUUUUUUUCCUUAUGAUUAAAGGUGGGAUGAGAGAAAAUUAAAUGACACACACAUGCUAAAAUAUCAAGGUUCCAGAUAUGUCUUGAGAGGGGUUGUUGCAGCUGCAAAGGAGAAGUGUAUAGUGAUAAUGAGUAAAGAUGCAUGUGCAGUUUGUUCUAUUUUAAGGCAAAAGUUAUAUCAGGGAUUUUUUUCUUAGAAAGGUGUUGCAGAGAUGUCUGGUACCUAGUUUAAAAAUGAUUCCAUAAUAUGUAGACUUGGGCAGUUCCUUUGGGAGGCACCUCCCUCUCAAAAUUUGAAGAUUGUGCUUGGAAAUUACUUUACAUGUAUUUGGGCUGUAUGUCAAUUUGUACGAAAUUAGACUUUCAGAAAAGUUUAUACUGGAAGGUUAAUAAUUUGUAUCUACUGAGGACUUAGAGCUAGCAGGCAAAAUGAAAAAAAAAAAAAAAAAAGCAAGGGCUGAUUUUUAUUCUUCUAUUCAAAAUACAAGGACAGAUGCUUCUCUGUUCCAAGAGGGUUUCCUUGAGGAAGCUACUGAAGCAGAAAGACAUGAUGGAGACGAGAUCGCCUCCCCUCUUGUCAAAGUGUUAAAAAAAUGUUCUGUCUUACUCUGCGCCUAGCAUUGGAAAUGAAAGUGACAUUUACGCCACAACCCACGUGUGCGCCUCCUCUCUUUUUGUUUAAGGAUGAUCAGGUCUAUCCAGGAAACAGCUCUGGCAUCCCAAACUGAAAUAAUUAGGACGUAUAUAGACCUGACAAAAAUGGAAAGGGGGUGGGGAAUCUGAGGGUCUGUCUUGCCUAAUUGAUUCCGCUAAACGGAAUGCAGGAGAUGUGAACGGCAGGACGCUCCGAUUCCCACGCUCGGGGGCAAGUGAUAAAGCGGGGCCGGGCAGCCUAUGACAGACAGCCCUGUUGGGGGGUGGGGGUAUGAAAAAAACAUCAAGUGCACACACCAUACUCAUCUCCAUCGCUUAAGAAAGUAAAGGCAUUUCCCACCCACAGCCAUCUGCAGCUUCCCAAAUGGCAGCACCAACUGGUCUGUAGCUGCUACAUAGUCUGCUUCUGUUAAUUUUUUAACCACUGUUUAAUCUGGCCAUAAUUAAGUUUGGCUUUCUUCGUUGUUUGAGAUUUUCAGAAUUCAAGGCAAGCUAGUAGAAAGCAAUUCCAAGAAAGUCCCAUGACUGCCUGCCCCUAAUGUCAAAAUCUCAGUCCAUGAGAUUAUGGCCUUGUGACCACAUUUUUGCUUUUGUUUUGGGUGGGCAAAUGUGUAUAGAGAUAAAAUACAUAUCUCUAUAUAACAGUCGUUAUUAUAAUUUCAUGAGGCUUUUUACCUCUUAACAUGAUACAUCUAGGAACUUGGUCUAAUUGUGCUAGUAGAUAUACACUAGAAGUAAAACUAUAAAGUCAUUAGCCUGUAGAAAGUUGAUUAUGAUAACAAUAUGAUAAAAAGUUUGUUUUGGAAUAGUCUCAGCUAGAUGGGUCUAAAUAGCCAUUUUAAUGUAAUCUAAAAAUAACACUAUGCCUAGCAGAAACUUUGGCGCUUUGGAGGUCCCCAUUGUCGCCUUUUCAUAAAAGUCCUUAAGUUUUCCAUAUGUCACCAAGCAAACAUUUGUAUAGGCAUUUACACAGAAAUAUAACCAUUGCAAUUAGAAAAUAUCCAAAAUAGCCUGUUAUCUUCCACGUGGCCUAGAUUAUUGACAAUCCCAAAUAUACAAUUUUUCUUUAAAAGUAGUACAAUUUCCUUUGUAGCUUCAAUUCCUUAUAUGACUUCAGACUGGAGAAGCCUGUUAAACCACUGUUAGUUUCAGUUAGAAAGUCUGAGAGACUUUAUACAUAAAUUCUCAAUUUGGCUGCUGUACACGUGCCAGAGUUUUACUACUGUAGUGACCGUUGAGAAGACCCUUGUUUAUUUACAUUUGAAGCACUGUUUGUGCAAACAACCUUUCAUUGUUAAGUGCCUGUAUUCCUUUCAUUUACUUCAUGUCCAGGGGUGCUAUUUACCUAGAACCAUUGUCUACUACAAUUAACAUUUACAUUACAAAGUGUGUGGUUUUCUUUUUCAAGGAGGUUCAAUUAAGGCAAUAAGAUGUUUGCUGGAGAAACCUAUUGUUUACUGAAAGCACUCAAUGAAGUCAAAUUACUGAAGCUUUUGCCUACAUCUUGGUCUUUUAUGUAAAUAUGUUAAAUAUAACAUCUAAGGAAAAUAAACAAUAUUAUAAUUAUGUGUUUGCCAUUGUCAUAUCAAACUUGCUUUGUAUCAUACUAAUGUUACAUAACUUAUCGAUCAAUA
Molecule: long non-coding RNA, 3694 nt
Organism: Homo sapiens (human)
Lineage: Eukaryota; Metazoa; Chordata; Mammalia; Primates; Hominidae
Gene: MIR9-2HG
Product: MIR9-2 host gene
Source: Ensembl